CUUUUGAUGGUCAUCUUCUCAGUGUUGUGUGUUUAUGUGACCUGGACGAGGGAUUAAAACAGCUGAGCGACCUUCAGACGCUCCAGCUGGGUUUUUGGCAGCAGUAGAAGAGAGGAACAAAGAGGAGAAGGAGGAGAUAAUGGGGUCUCCCAUGGGGUUCUGGUGGGUGGAUGUCAGGGGUACAUCAGGGGUGGAAUUUGCUUUCCCAGUUCUGUUUCCACAAAACAUUCCCCACUGAGUUUCUCCUUUCCAGAGGGAAAGAUCCAGAUUGCCAAGCUCACAGUUGUGCUGUGGUGUUAUUUUACAGGGGUUUUUUUAAGUAUAGCUAAUACACCUAUGCAGUCAGCUGAUGCAACUUGACAGUAAUAACUGUUGUCUGGCUGAAGUUAAAGGGGAACUCCAUUUAACAGCAGUUAUGUAGUUGCCAAGCUGCUUCCUGAAUUAUCGGGAAAAUCCUUCGUGCUCUGUAUCUCUAACACUGGUUUCACACUGCUGUCAGACUUUUCCUUCCUUAUCUGCCUGGCACCCUGUGAUGUUCAUUAUUCCUUUAAAAAGACACUGAUGCUUUUGCAUGUUGGGAAGUUUAAACUGAAAAAGAAACCAAACUCUGAGCAACCUAAAACUAUUCUAUGCACGCAGUAUUAAUUCUUAUCAACAAUACGGGGAAAGCCUGGGACUAAAUGAUAACAGAGAAUCGUCGAAAAUUUCUCAACAGGAGAAUGAUCGCACAGCAGAAACUCAAAUAACCACUUUUUACAACCAGCGUGUGCAGAAGAGCAUCUCUGAAUGUACGUCAUUUAAAACAUUGAAGCAGACUGGCUACAGCAGCAGAAGACCACACUGGGUGGCGCUUCAGUCAGCUAACAGAGUGACCUCUGCACUCUGUCAUUUUACAUCAAAUUAUUAAUCAAGAAAAUGCCUCAAUAAUAUAAGUUACAUUUACGGUGUGGUGGGAAAAGCAAGUCUUCGUUAACACUAUUUAAAAAGGUUCACAACUAACGAAGGCGGGAUAAAUGUUUUUAUCCUUUACAAAUCAGAAUCAGAAUCAGAAUACUUUAUUGAUCCCUGGGGGAAAUUAUUUUUUGUUACAGUGCUCCAUUUUAAACCAAAGUAACCAAACAAAGUAAGAACUGUAAUCGUAAGAAAGCAACAAAACAGGGUCACUGGGUUCAAAUUAACUCAGCUAAGAAGAAUGUGUUGUCGACUGUUUGACGGGAAGCUGACAGACUGUCUGACCGGUUUGAAAGAAGAAAACAUUGACGAUUAGAGACAGAGAUGUACUGAAAUACAGCCGUGACAGCCUCCCUCUUCGCACGUUCAGUCCUCCCCUAUGAACCUGCGAUCCACCUCAUGUUUUUGUGAAAGACGACUCCCUGCUCACCAACACCUGGGCUUUAAAAGCAGGCGCACUGCCAAUAGAAGGAGAAAAACAAACCAGACAGGUUUCAGCUUUCCCUUCGGUGAAAAACAAACGGUGAGAGAAGCGAGUGGGAAGAAGGAACCGAGAAAGAGAGAGAGAGGUGAGGUUGUUUGGCCUCUGUUUCAUCCUUCCAAGCUCACCAUAUGAGAGCUAUUUUACUGCCCUUUGACAAGGGACCAGCAGGAUUUCCCCUGAAGUAGCAGUUUACUGUAAGCUUGUGGGUGUGGGGGGUGGAGAUAGGUCUGUUUGUUAGGGUAGACCGCUCCAAGUUCUGUGAAAAAGUAUUAGUCCAAUCGGGUGGGAGGUUGUGUACUAGUAGCAAAGAGGUCACAAUUCCACAAAAUCUCAUCUAUACUCCAAAAGUCUUCUGUGGCAGUCAACGAAAUAAUGAGUUCAACAGAUGCUAGGUGGAAAAAACUAGGCUCUAAAAGCCAUAACAUUUCAUUUUGUGUUUGUUUUUUAAAGAUCUAAUUAUUUCAAGCAAUUACAGCAAAAUAAUCAAACAAAUAAAUGAAAAAUGGAGAGAAUUUUUGUUCUGGGUAUUUUUUUUCUCUUGUUUUUCUUCUUCUUUGCUGCUUUUUUUGUUUUGGUCUUCAUAAAAAUGCAGCUGCUUCUUUUGGUGCAUUAACUGGACAGGGUUUUAAAAGAGAAACAGACAACAACAAAAUGAAUACAUCCUCUGUGCCAUCACACGGUCUGAAAUUUCUCCAUUGGUUUCUUAGAAAACCGGUCUGUGCGUGUCUGUGCAAACCUCUGGCACUGCAUCCUCUCCAGGGCAUGAGCGGAAUAAAAACACUGCGAUCCUCCAAUCGUGACAUCACUCUCAGCUCAGAGUGUCCAAAGGCAUAAAUCGAGAAAAGAUGUGGAAAUGAAGGCAGGUUAUUCUUAAACGCAACAGUCUGUGCUUCUAAUUUCAACUUUAUAGCUGGG
Molecule: long non-coding RNA, 2350 nt
Organism: Astatotilapia calliptera (eastern happy)
Lineage: Eukaryota; Metazoa; Chordata; Actinopteri; Cichliformes; Cichlidae
Source: Ensembl